This 378-nucleotide ribosomal RNA is filed under the name Myxosporea environmental sample. RNAcentral's name for it is "bacterial SSU rRNA". It matches the Rfam family "Eukaryotic small subunit ribosomal RNA", at positions 574 to 928 of the family's 1831-position model. The record is from RNAcentral. Lineage: Eukaryota; Metazoa; Cnidaria; Myxozoa.
CCGCGGUAAUUCCAGCUCCAGUAGUGUAUAUCAAAAUUGUUGCGGUUAAAACGCUCGUAGUCGGAGGAGAAAGACAAGUGGUCGUUGCGAUUCAAUCGCAGCGGCCUCGGGUCUUGUGGUCGCGGGCUCCGGUGGUGUGCUUUAAUGCUUGUGGCCGGUCGCUCGCGAAGCGUGCCUUGAAUAAAGCAGAGUGCUCAAAGCGAGCGCAACGCGUGAAUGUGAUAGCAUGGAACGAAGCAAGACGCGAGCGCGGUUUGUCGGUGAGGCUGCAGAGAUGCGGCCGUCCGGGCCUCGGCCUGGAGCCGCGCUCGGUCGGAAUCAAGAGGGCCACUUGAGGGCGUUAGUACUUGGUGGCGAGGGGUGAAAUUCUUAGACCAA